UGUCAGUGUCACUACAUGUAGUCCGGAUACAAGUAGAUCUACUCAUAGUCACAGUAUUUUAUUCGACGACUACCGUUUAGGUGCAGCAAACAUGUUACGUGCCGGCGAUGGCCCAGUACAAAUACCCUCUUUCUGGUACCAGUCGAUAGCGAAGCCAAUAAUGACUCCAGAGUGCGUGGCGAGAUCGGACUACAAUACGCGGCUUCCAUGAUAUCCAAUCACAGCAGAUGCGACGGGUCGGUGCGAUUAGCUUCUUUGUCAUAAGCUGGAAAGCUGAACACAACAUGGCGCACGGCUGAGGAUGGCUGUCAACAAGCCAACGACAAGCAGAGUGACAAAAAACUCCAAAGACACCUUGACUGAUGAUCAACACUAGAGGCAAGAAGAGCAUCAACUUCAAGACAGCAGCAGUAUCAACAGCUCCAGUGGCAGCACUGACUCUGAGCAGCAUUUGCAGAGCAAUGGCUUUAGAAAGAGCAGCCAAACAGGUAGCAGUAGUAAUGAUGCUGACAGCAGCAGCACCAGUACAUGCACUGGGCCACCAAGAAGUGGCAAGCCUGGGGAGCUGUGACGGAAUGGAAAGUAGAACGCGGCACUGCAGCUACAGAGUAACAGAGUAACAACACUCACACUCUGAGUCAGUGAUGCACACUAACGGCCGCUACCCCACAUUUUAACGGAGAUUACAUCACUCGCAGCAGCAGCAACAGCACCACCGCCACAAACGGCAGCAGCUGCAAUCUUCUAUUAGCAGAGCAGCAGUGUCUAGCAGCAGCGCUUGAACUGCUUUCUCCCACGGCCCAGCAGAAGGACCAAUGAUAAGAUGCAGGAUAGCCAUGUGAAAGGCUACUGAUGUGCAAGUUGUACGCGGCAAGUACUCACCUGAGUCCGUGCAUAGCAACUCUGGGCUAGUCUGCCGGGCCAAGCAGCAUAGAUGCACCGAUAGCCAGUGGAAGCAGCUACACUGAGUAGGCUAGCUUAGAGUUAACUGCAUGGCCAGUGUUCAAUACGUCUUGAAUGUGCAGCUGUAUCAGCUUUGAACUCCACUAUUACAGAUGUGCGUGGACAUUUUGAAAUCCGACUUGAAACACAGUAACCAUGGUAACAUCAUACACAGUAUUGCAACAGCAUGUAGUCUAGCCUGUGUAUGUCUAGCUUGGCAUUGGCUCCUGUGUGCUAGUGUCCAAUGCAUUGGCUCCUGUGUGCUAGUGUCCAAUGCAUUGGCUCCUGUGUGCUAGUGUCCAAUGCAUUGGCUCCUGUGUGCUAGUGCCCAAUGCUCUUCACAGCACAACCUUUUUUCUUGUAGUGUGCACGUGCGAACAAUACAAUGCUCAGCGGACUACAUUUUAAGACGUUUUCUCAUAUUCACCAAAACCCUCUGCUAUUAUAGUGGUUCGGCAUGUUUUGAGUACUUUUGCCGCGACCCGUGUCAGAGUUUUGUUUGGUAUCACCAUGGCGAAUGAGCAACACAACGUUAUACAUUACCUGGGUCUCUCUCUCUC
Molecule: long non-coding RNA, 1502 nt
Organism: Sycon ciliatum
Lineage: Eukaryota; Metazoa; Porifera; Calcarea; Leucosolenida; Sycettidae
Exons: 2
Source: RefSeq, a predicted model, not a curated record